UAGAGCCAUUACUGAGUUAUUCCCAAACACCAUACACAGAUAUUGUAUGUGGCUUAUCCUCAGCAACUUCUCAGAGAAACUAGAUGCAGUCGAAUGGAAAGAACACUACACUCAAUUUCAGAAAUGCAUAUGGGAUUCUGAGAGUCCAGAGAAUUUUGAAGUUGAAUGGUCCAGGGUGAUAGAGCAAAGUGGCAUGUCUGACGAUGAAUGGUUAAAAGGAUUGUAUGAUAUUCGGUUCAAAUGGAUUCCUGCGUAUGUUAACGACACAUUCUCUGCGGGCAUGUCCAGUAGUCAAAGAGCAUAAAGUUGUCAUUCAUUUUUCAAGCAUUAUGUGUCAACGAAAAACACAUUGAUGGAUUUUGUGGUUAGAUUUUCAAGGGCACUUAAACACCAACGACAUCAGGAGUUAUGUCGUGAUCAUAAAGACAUCAAUGAGCAGCCUAUCAUGAAGACUACAUGGGCAAUAGGUGAGUGAGAUAUACACAUAGAGCAUAUUUUAUAAAUUUCAAGAUGAAUUGUACCAAAGCAUGGCUUAUAUAGUAGCAAUGGACCAAGAUGUAGGAGAUAAGUGCAUGUAUAUUGUUAGUCGGGUUGAGAUUGUUGAUGGACGCGUAAGAAAAGUCAUUAAAGAUAAAUCCAUCAAUUAGUGAGUUGCAGUUGCAAAAAAUUUGAGUUUUUUGGAAUUCUUUGUCGGCAUAUAUUGGUUACCUUCAGUAGGUUUCAGUUGCAACAAUCAUUGUCUAGUCUUUAUAUAUUACGUAGAUGGACCAAGGCUGCAAAAUCACUAAGUUCAUUUAGUGUUGGAGGUGGUGGUGGGAAGGAUAGUUGUGAUGAUUCUUUAGUUGUGAACCAUAUGACCUUACAUAAACUUGCGUCGAAUAUAAUUGAUGAUGCUUUGAUGAAUCACGAGACUUGUGAGUUGGCAAAAGAUACUUUUGAGUCUCUUCACAACAUCAUAAAGUCUAUGAGCAUAAAUGAUGGAAGACAAUCUACACCAAGUGUUGGUCUUUCAGAACCUGUUUACAACGAGCCUAACAAAGUUAGGGCAAAAGGUUGUGGAAAGAGGUUAAAGGGGGGUAAAGAAAUGGCAUUGACGAAGAACAGACAUUGUCAUGGGUGCGGACUAACGGGACAUGACAAGAGGAAUUGUCCUUCACUGAACAAUGUGGCAUCUUAGUCGCAAAUUGUGGAUGACACUCUGCCUUAGCUUGAUUGUUGAACUGUGGACUAAUUGGUUGCUGUUUGUAGUGUGCUUUGGCUUGUUUCUGGGAGAUAUGUCUUCCUU
This is a long non-coding RNA of Tripterygium wilfordii, 1285 nucleotides long. RefSeq lists it as uncharacterized. The transcript has 3 exons. The record is from RefSeq and is a predicted model, not a curated record. NCBI's taxonomy places the organism in Eukaryota, Viridiplantae, Streptophyta, Magnoliopsida, Celastrales, Celastraceae.